CCUACGGGAGGCAGCAGUGGGGAAUAUUGGGCGAUGGGCGCAAGCCUGACCCAGCGACGCCGCGUGAGGGAAGACGGUCUUCGGAUUGUAAACCUCUUUCAGCAGGGAAGACAAAAGGACGGUACCUGCAGAAGAAGCCACGGCUAACUACGUGCCAGCAGCCGCGGUAAUACGUAUGUGGCAAGCGUUAUCCGGAAUUACUGGGUGGAAAGGGUGUGUAGGCGGGUUUGCAAGUCAGAUGUGAAAAUUAUGGGCUCAACCCAUAACCUGCGUCUGAAACUACAGAUCUUGAGAGUGGGAGAGGUAAACGGAAUUCCCGGUGUAGCGGUGAAAUGCAUAGAUAUCACGCAGAACCCCGAUUGCGAAGGCAGCAUGCCGGCUUCCGACUGACGCUGAAGCACGAAAGCGUGGGGAUCGAACAGGAUUAGAUACCCGAGUAGUC
RNAcentral lists this ribosomal RNA (442 nucleotides) under uncultured bacterium. Its description in RNAcentral is "partial 16S ribosomal RNA". It matches the Rfam family "Bacterial small subunit ribosomal RNA", at positions 338 to 795 of the family's 1533-position model. The record is from RNAcentral.